Molecule: ribosomal RNA, 505 nt
Filed under: uncultured bacterium
Lineage: Bacteria
Description: bacterial SSU rRNA
Rfam family: Bacterial small subunit ribosomal RNA
Source: RNAcentral
GACGAACGCUGGCGGCGUGGAUUAGGCAUGCAAGUCGAACGGUAUCAUCCUUUCGGGGGUGAGAGAGUGGCGAACUGGUGAGUAACACGUAGGUUAUCUACCCUCAAGACGGGGACAACCCAGGGAAACUUGGGCUAAUACCGGAUGUGAGCAACUUUUAGUUGUUUGAAAGGUGGCGUAAGCUGUCGCUUGGGGAUGAGCCUGCGUCCUAUUAGUUAGUUGGUGAGGUAACGGCUCACCUAGGCAAUGAUAGGUAGGCGGCCUUAACGGGUGGUCGCCCACACUGGGAUUGAGAUACGGCCCAGACUCCUACGGGAGGCAGCAGUCGAGAAUAGUCUACAAUGGUCGGAAGACUGAUAGUGCGACGCCGCGUGAACGAUGAAUCCCUUCGGGGUGUAAAGUUCUUUUAUAUGUGAGCAGUGCUUCUUAUAUUAACAGUAUGGGGAGAGAGAUAUUAGCAUAUGAAUAAGCAACGGCUAACUCCGUGCCAGCAGCCCGCGGUAAU